Lycium ferocissimum is the source of this 826-nucleotide long non-coding RNA. RefSeq lists it as uncharacterized. Lineage: Eukaryota; Viridiplantae; Streptophyta; Magnoliopsida; Solanales; Solanaceae. The record is from RefSeq and is a predicted model, not a curated record. The transcript has 2 exons.
AAAAACUUUCUUAUAGGAUCAAAUUUGCGAUCUUCGAAUACAUUCUUAUAAGAGAAACAUUUUAUUGUUCCUAGUAGUUGCUGAACGUGAGCACAUAGUUGCAAUUUCAUUUACAACAGUGUGUUACGUUUUGCAUUUGUGUUUCUAAAGCUUAUACAAUGCUUGCUAGGCGUACAGUCAAGAACAUCCCCAAGUAGGCUUCAGCAGAGCUCUAAUUAGAUAAUGUUUGCCACGCGUCAAGGAGAAGAAGAUAAUGUCACUAAAACCUUUUGUCAAUCGACUUGGGUAACUGGAUUCCCAUACUGCUUUAAUUGACCUGAUAAACUAAUUGCGUAUCAUUUAGGUGUGACAAUGUUCCUCCAGAGAUAAACAGGCUGAUGUGCAGGAUCAACUAUCAUGCUCUGAAGUUCCUUCCUGAGAUUGAGCAGAUGGCUGAUCAACUCAUUUCAAGGAUGAGAAACCGCACUGGUAGUUCAAAUCCUUUCAUUGCUCUUCACUUGAGAUUUGAGAAAGGAAUGGUGGGUCUAUCAUUCUGUGAUUUUAUUGGAACAAGGUCGGAGAAAGCUCUCAUGGCUGCAUACAGAAAGAAACAAUGGCCUCAGCGGUUUAAGGUUAUCUAGAUUAUGAUCAUUAUUCCUAUAAAGCCGCAGUGACCAUUUCAUUUGUGAUAUAUUUGUCUUCCUUUUUGUUUACUUUGUUGAUUAUUUCAGUUUAUUUUGUUGAUGAUUUUGUUUAAUGAACUUUAUUAUAUAUUGGUUGAUGAAGAUUAUGAACUGGGCGUUGGCCUGUUGCCUUUCAGUUUAUUAGACAUCUGUUUGAAAUUUCA